Long non-coding RNA from Oncorhynchus keta (chum salmon), 618 nucleotides. RefSeq lists it as uncharacterized. The record is from RefSeq and is a predicted model, not a curated record. NCBI's taxonomy places the organism in Eukaryota, Metazoa, Chordata, Actinopteri, Salmoniformes, Salmonidae. The transcript is spliced from 5 exons.
GUAGACUAGUGUGUGUGUGUGUGCAUGGACACCUGAGGUGUGUGUAGACUAGUGUGUGUGUGUGUGCAUGGACACCUGAGGUGUGUGUAGACUAGUGUGUGUGUGUGCAUGGACACCUGAGGUGUGUGUAGACUAGUGUGUGUGUGUGCAUGGACACCUGAGGUGUGUGUAGACUAGUGUGUGUGUGUGCAUGGACACCUGAGGUGUGUGGAGACUAGUGUGUGUGUGUGCAUGGACACCUGAGGUGUGUGUAGACUAGUGUGUGUGUGUGUAUCGACACCUGAGGUGUGUGUAGACUAGUGUGUGUGUGUGUGCAUCGACACCUGAGGUGUGUGUAGACUAGUGUAUGUGUGUGCAUGGACACCUGAGGUGUGUGUAGACUAGUGUGUGUGUGUACAUGGACACCUGAGGUGUGUGUAGACUAGUGUGUGUGUGUGCAUGGACACCUGAGGUGUGUGUAGACUAGUGUGUGUGUGUGCAUGGACACCUGAGGUGUGUGUAGACUAGUGUGUGUGUGUGCAUGGACACCUGAGGUGUGUGUAGACUAGUGUGUGUGUGUGCAUGGACACCUGAGGUGUGUGUAGACUAGUGUGUGUGUGUGCAUGGACACCUGAGGUG